GGUGGUUCUCAGGUGACACACCCUGGAAUUGGGCUCCCUCCUCUCUGGUUCCAGGUGCAUCCGCCAAGAACCGCA
Molecule: non-coding RNA, 75 nt
Organism: Myotis brandtii (Brandt's bat)
Lineage: Eukaryota; Metazoa; Chordata; Mammalia; Chiroptera; Vespertilionidae
Source: Rfam